GAUGAACGCUGGCGGCGUGCCUAAUACAUGCAAGUCGAGCGAACGGACGAGAAGCUUGCUUUUCUGAUGUUAGCGGCGGACGGGUGAGUAACACGUGGAUAACCUACCUAUAAGACUGGGAUAACUUCGGGAAACCGGAGCUAAUACCGGAUAAUAUUUUGAACCGCAUGGUUCAAAAGUGAAAGACGGUCUUGCUGUCACUUAUAGAUGGAUCCGCGCUGCAUUAGCUAGUUGGUAAGGUAACGGCUUACCAAGGCAACGAUGCAUAGCCGACCUGAGAGGGUGAUCGGCCACACUGGAGCUGAGACACGGUCCAGACUCCUACGGGAGGCAGCAGUAGGGAAUCUUCCGCAAUGGGCGAAAGCCUGACGGAGCAACGCCGCGUGAGUGAUGAAGGUCUUCGGAUCGUAAAACUCUGUUAUUAGGGAAGAACAUAUGUGUAAGUAACUGUGCACAUCUUGACGGUACCUAAUCAGAAAGCCACGGCUAACUACGUG
Molecule: ribosomal RNA, 497 nt
Filed under: uncultured bacterium
Lineage: Bacteria
Description: partial 16S ribosomal RNA
Rfam family: Bacterial small subunit ribosomal RNA
Source: RNAcentral